Molecule: ribosomal RNA, 877 nt
Filed under: uncultured bacterium
Lineage: Bacteria
Description: bacterial SSU rRNA
Rfam family: Bacterial small subunit ribosomal RNA
Source: RNAcentral
UCGAGGGGCAGCGGGGGUGAUGGCUUGCCAUCACCUGCCGGCGACCGGCGCACGGGUGAGUAACACGUAUGCAACCUGCCCGCCACAGGGGGAUAAGCGGAAGAAAUUCCGUCUAAUACCGCGUGACGCGGCACCGGGGCAUCCCGGUGCCGCCAAAGGGAUUACCGGUGGCGGAUGGGCAUGCGGCGCAUUAGCUAGUCGGCGGGGUAACGGCCCACCGAGGCGACGAUGCGUAGGGGUUCUGAGAGGAAGGUCCCCCACACUGGUACUGAGACACGGACCAGACUCCUACGGGAGGCAGCAGUGAGGAAUAUUGGUCAAUGGGCGCGAGCCUGAACCAGCCAAGUCGCGUGAGGGAUGACGGUCCUACGGAUUGUAAACCUCUUUUGCCGGGGAGCAAGCGUGCGUUCGUGAACGCGCGUCGAGAGUACCCGGAGAAAAAGCAUCGGCUAACUCCGUGCCAGCAGCCGCGGUAAUACGGAGGAUGCGAGCGUUAUCCGGAUUUAUUGGGUUUAAAGGGUGCGUAGGCGGGAUGCCAAGUCAGCGGUAAAAAAGCGGUGCUCAACGCCGUCGAGCCGUUGAAACUGGCGUUCUUGAGUGGGCGAGAAGUAUGCGGAAUGCGUGGUGUAGCGGUGAAAUGCAUAGAUAUCACGCAGAACUCCGAUUGCGAAGGCAGCAUACCGGCGCCCUACUGACGCUGAGGCACGAAAGCGUGGGUAUCGAACAGGAUUAGAUACCCUGGUAGUCCACGCAGUAAACGAUGAAUGCUAACUGUCCGGUGCGAGUGAGCGCUGGGCGGUACAGCGAAAGCGUUAAGCAUUCCACCUGGGGAGUACGCCGGCAACGGUGAAACUCAAAGGAAUUGACGGGGGCCCGC